ACUGCCCUAUGGGUUGUAAACUUCUUUUAUAUGGGAAUAAAGUGCAGUAUGUAUACUGCUUUGCAUGUACCUUAUGAAUAAGGAUCGGCUAACUCCGUGCCAGCAGCCGCGGUAAUACGGAGGAUCCGAGCGUUAUCCGGAUUUAUUGGGUUUAAAGGGAGCGUAGGCGGGUUGUUAAGUCAGUUGUGAAAGUUUGCGGCUCAACCGUAAAAUUGCAGUUGAUACUGGCAUCCUUGAGUACAGUAGAGGUAGGCGGAAUUCGUGGUGUAGCGGUGAAAUGCUUAGAUAUCACGAAGAACUCCGAUUGCGAAGGCAGCCUGCUGGACUGUAACUGACGCUGAUGCUCGAAAGUGUGGGUAUCAAACAGGAUUAGAUACCCUGGUAGUCCACACAGUAAACGAUGAAUACUCGCUGUUUGCGAUAUACAGUAAGCGGC
RNAcentral lists this ribosomal RNA (436 nucleotides) under uncultured bacterium. Its description in RNAcentral is "bacterial SSU rRNA". It matches the Rfam family "Bacterial small subunit ribosomal RNA", at positions 411 to 847 of the family's 1533-position model. The record is from RNAcentral.